CCACUCUGGAAACUGUGUAAUAUUUGUGUAACAUCGGUAGGAGCUUCUGUUCUGAUAAGUGCAAAUCAUCCCUUAAGUAGUAAAGUCAACUGUGGUGGAACAGACCUCGCCACGUGUUCUUGGAGAGGGCUGCUUGCCCGCCUCCUACCUUCUGACUAUGGCCCUGUGCAUUUGCAAACACUAUUUGUGCCCUGUGACAAAACUGGAGAUUGUGCACAUAUAUGACUAUUGUCCAUAUUUUUUAUGAUUCCCUUCGUUUGUUGCACCGUUCCCCAUGUGUUUCAUCUGCUGGUUCGGCUGGAUAGACUACCAGACAAACUGUGGAGUUACUGGAUGGCCACCAUUUCAUGUAUCAGAGGCACAUGGUGAGAACAAUGGAUGAAGUACAUGGUGAGAACAAUGGAUGGCAGCCAUUUUAACUCACAGACACUGUUUUGACUUUUCUACACGGUGCCAUCUCGCCGGCAUUUGGUGCACAAAGACAUCGUUCAGUAGUUUUAAACUACAGAAAAGGGGACACAUUUAACAGUAAUUAUUUUUCAUAUAGCCUGUAUAUGUUCUGCGGAAUCUGCAUUAAACCGUAUCUUCCAAACUACUGAACGGACCUGGGUGAAUUUUGGAUAUGUGGUUCACCCAGGUCCCCCGGUUCCGAGGAUAUAUUUUUUAUGGGGUUAUUGCAUGUUUUGGGGUCCCUGUGAUAUCUUUUAUAAUACUUUAUUUUCCUGCCUGUGAUAAUUAAGUUAGUCUAUUGUGUUGAGAUAAUUGUAUCACAGGCAGAGGGGAGGAUUUCUGAUGUAAUGAAUGGGAGUGUUAGCUGUGUUGUAAUGUGUUGAUUGGUUGUUCUUCAAAACCCUGUGGGCAGUACUUUGUUUGUAGAAUGUGAAUAAAAGAGGCUGUAUGUGCCAGUACAGUCAGUUCUACUUCACCCUCAAUUUGGAGUGCCGUCUCUUAUUGGGGGUAUCUGCUACAAGGGAUUGCUAUGCUCUGCAUACUCUCUUGCUAUAGUCACUGCUAGGCUCUUGUAAGAGCUUGUUCCUGUCUUGCUCUCACUGAAGGAGUCUAUGCUGGUUAUGGUGUCGGCUGGAGUGCUUGGAGCCCUCAGGAAGCGCUAGGAGCAUCCUUCAACGGAGGUACCCAGUCGGGGUGCCCAUCGAUCCGUUACAUCAACCCUGUACAAGACAUCCCUAUCUAAAGGUGGAACUCUGGUUUCUUAAUACCUUUGCAUUGGGAUCAUUUUUGCUACAACCCUGUUCAUCCUGUUUCUGAACUAUUACCUGGCUCUGACCUGGAUACCCUUACCAGAUAAUCUCUCGCUUGUUAAAGAUGCUGUUUCUGGCUCUUACUUAGCUUUACUUAUCCUGUUUGCAACCUUUUCUGUUUUUCUAGACUCAUACCUGAAUUUAGUUUGGCUUUGCUGGUUUCCAUAUACAUACCUACUUUCUAUAAUAAUUCUAUUUUCCUCUUUCGGUUAAAAAGAGUUUGACCUAUAGAUUCCAAAAUACCUACACAUAUCCCAUAAAGUUUAUAACUGAUAUCCAUAAACCAAACAUAACAUUUCAAACCUUAACCUGGAAACGUCUAGUUCUUUUGCACAUUUAGUCAUAUUACUAGCCAAAAUACAGAGAAGAAAUAGUUUUGUGAAAUUCCAUUCUGCAGGUUAAAGACAUCUUAAUGGUACUGAAUGCAACUGUAUCCACAGAAAACACAUACUAUGGUUUUCCGCUCUCAACUAAAUUUUUGUUAAAUUCUUUGCCAAGAAGUCCACAUAAGG
Pelobates cultripes (western spadefoot toad) is the source of this 1771-nucleotide non-coding RNA. NCBI's taxonomy places the organism in Eukaryota, Metazoa, Chordata, Amphibia, Anura, Pelobatidae. The record is from the annotation of a GenBank genome assembly.